UGCAUCUUCUCUCUGAGAUGAAUGCUGUCCCAGUUGAUGAAUUUCUGAAAUCCUUGCAGAUAGAUAAACUCAGGAGCGACACGGCAAGUGCUCGUUGAAAUUGAUCAGUUGUUGGCCACCAGCUUCACAGCAGGCUUUGAGCUUCCUCAAUCUGGUACUCCUUUGGAUUGAAUCCAACUGUCAGUUGUGCAUCCCUUGUGAUCAUGGUCAUUGAACUUGAUGACGUAGAUACUGGAAGGCCACUGGUGGUAGUCCUUGGACGACGACAUAUUUUGCUCCGUUUUCUCAGCAAUGUCUAUAUAUAUGCUGGCUAGUUAUGGAAAGUUUUUCAAGAGUGUAAUACACACGCAUUGAAUUCAUUUAUAUUUAGCGUUAACUACGCUCUCAUAGAGUUUGUGUAAUUAUAGAGAAUACUCCUCUCCUUUUGGAACUAUCAAAAUUGAUCCUCUGAGUUCGUAACAUUUACAUACCACCUCAUUCCAUUUUACAUGCAGUAUCUAGAUAUUUGAGAGGAUGUUAAUGUUCGAUUUUUCCAAAUAUAAGAGUGUAAUUGUUCUGUAUCUAACGCCAACUGUGAAAGCUAACGGCGUUCUUGAAGUUUGCAGAAGGCUCUCUGUAAGGUGAAAGCAGGAAAUUGACGGCUAGGCGGUCAUCAGACAACCUACUUGUUGAGUUUCUAACCAGAGAUGAAUGCGGAUUGAGCUUUUGGCUUAAAAGUACAUUCCUCCAGGAUGCAGUGAAUGGGGUAACCCUCAAUUUAAAAA
Non-coding RNA from Sesamum indicum (sesame), 764 nucleotides. The record is from RefSeq and is a predicted model, not a curated record. NCBI's taxonomy places the organism in Eukaryota, Viridiplantae, Streptophyta, Magnoliopsida, Lamiales, Pedaliaceae.